Arvicanthis niloticus (Nile rat) is the source of this 127-nucleotide small nuclear RNA. The record is from RefSeq and is a predicted model, not a curated record. Lineage: Eukaryota; Metazoa; Chordata; Mammalia; Rodentia; Muridae.
AUGUUGUUUGAAAGGAGAGAAGGUUAUCACUUCCCUUGACAAGAAUGGAAGAGGCUCUUUGGCCUAACCACGUAAUAUAGUCAAGGCAUUGCUACCAACAUCAUUACAGUACAGGUUUGUACUUUGU